CCAAUGUAGCAAUAUGCUUAUUCCUCUAGUUCAGAGCUGGUGAGCAGGACGAGAAAAGACCCAAGACCUCGCUGAGGAAAGAGUUCGAGCGAGAAACGCCAGAGGAGAAACCCUGUGCCUUCCACUGUGGGCCGACUCAUUGAAUUAUAGACAUUUUUGACUGCUUGCUCAUCGCUUACAGAGUUGAGAAAACGUCUGAGGUGAAGUCCUGCUGUGGAGUCGGUGUGUUCAUAGCUUUGUGCUUUUCUGGAGUUCUGACUGUCGCUGCAGCUCUGGCUGCAUCUGUAGCUGCAAAGUGCAUCAGAAAACACAAGAAAGCUUCUCAGAGAAACCAGAGAGACGAUCCUUCUAAGAAAGCUUGUAACGGUGACGCUUCAGUGACAUCACAGCUGUAGUGUGUUUGUAUAUUUCAGGGGAAAUGGAUUCGUAUCUCUGAGGUCAACAUUAAUUUUUUAAAUAUUUUGUAUUUUCAUUCCUUUUAUUGUUAUCUACCUCGUUGUGUCUCCAUGUUUCUCACUGCUGUCUGUGAGGAGUCAGUGAGAUCAUAUUGAUCAUAUCAACUCUGAGUGUUUCACUCCAAAAUCUCAGGGACUCGAACCACAAGGAGCAGAUUCACCACAUAAUGCCUUAAAAAUUAGCAGAAAGCCAACUUUGAACACAAAGGCAGCUUAUGAAAUGUGGUAAUAAUGGCUGCUGUGUGUUAAAGUGGAUGAUUGGUGGAUGAAGGUGCUGACUGCAGCUGCUGGUGAUCCUGCAGAAACUGGUUCUACUUUUUUAGAUGUGAGAUUCUUGUAAACAUCAGUGCAAUUCAUGAUUUUAUGAAGCAGUUUGAUGCUGAUUUUAUAAUAUUUAUAUUGCACUUUUUAAAGUGCUACAAAUAAACACUUAUAGCUCUAAACUCUGUCAACCUUUUCUGGCUCAGCACCACAAAGCUUAAUUAUUACUGU
Oreochromis aureus is the source of this 947-nucleotide long non-coding RNA. RefSeq lists it as uncharacterized. The transcript is spliced from 3 exons. NCBI's taxonomy places the organism in Eukaryota, Metazoa, Chordata, Actinopteri, Cichliformes, Cichlidae. The record is from RefSeq and is a predicted model, not a curated record.